Molecule: non-coding RNA, 919 nt
Organism: Salvia hispanica
Lineage: Eukaryota; Viridiplantae; Streptophyta; Magnoliopsida; Lamiales; Lamiaceae
Source: RefSeq, a predicted model, not a curated record
GAGGUAUGGCGGGUUCCCCUCCAUUGUGCGCGGACGCGACGGGGCAGCACCGGCAGUUGAUGAUGUGGCAAGGAGCCGUGGCGUGACAGAGCCCUCCCACUGUGGACAAUUUCCAACCAUUACUAAUUUAAUUGGGAAACUAAACAAUUAUAAAAGCUACUUAAAAGAAAGUGUUACACUAUCCACACAUUUUCUAUCUCCAUCUUCACAUUUUCAGUUGGAAAUUUCAAGUUGAAGACCCAAGUUUUCCACCUCCAAUCUGCACAAAGCAAGUUGAGUUGGGAGAAUGGUUAUGGAUGACUGUUGACCUGAAAACGGAGUUAGAAAAGGGGUGAAGGUGUUAGUCCAAAGGGAUUUUGAAUUGUAGACUUGUUGGUUGUGCCCCUAGUAGAUGGAGGUGUGGGGGUAGAAGCUCUUGAAUUCUCUGCAAAACGCUAGAAGUCGAGAGCUUCCUUAUCUGCAGUUUCCAUUCUAGAGGCUUGUGCGCGAGAUUGCACAUGACUUCUAGAUGGAUCUGAGGUUCUAGAGCGCUGCAUUUAAAUGUCGUUGGAAUGAGUAGGGUCGGGUCAGAUGGAAAAUUUGCACAACCCGUCAAAGUUCAUGAUAUUGCGACUAUUUUUGAAGUAUACUGUAAAAACUAGAAGAGGCCUAAGUUGGUGAUUUUAGCUGGUAUUUGCCUCUUUAUAGUAAAUGGUGGAGAGCACACAGUCCUAGCACUUUAAUAAGUUAAGUUAUGAUUGAUAGAGGCCAAAUUAUCUUAUUUGUGGAGAAUCAAUGGAGUGUAGGAAGCAAAAUUAUCCACACAUAUACUCCCUCCGUCCCAGAUAAUUCGACCCAAUAUUCCAUUUCGGACCGUCCCACAUAAUUUGUCCCACUUCAUUUUUACCAUUUUUGAUAAUGGACCCCAUAUUCCAUUAAC